This 274-nucleotide ribosomal RNA is filed under the name uncultured bacterium. RNAcentral's name for it is "partial 16S ribosomal RNA". It matches the Rfam family "Bacterial small subunit ribosomal RNA", at positions 523 to 796 of the family's 1533-position model. The record is from RNAcentral.
AUACAGAGGGUGCAAGCGUUAAUCGGAUUUACUGGGCGUAAAGCGCGCGUAGGCGGCUAAUUAAGUCAAAUGUGAAAUCCCCGAGCUUAACUUGGGAAUUGCAUUCGAUACUGGUUAGCUAGAGUGUGGGAGAGGAUGGUAGAAUUCCAGGUGUAGCGGUGAAAUGCGUAGAGAUCUGGAGGAAUACCGAUGGCGAAGGCAGCCAUCUGGCCUAACACUGACGCUGAGGUGCGAAAACAUGGGGAGCAAACAGGAUUAGAUACCCGAGUAGUCC